GCCUGCCUAGCUCAAUUGGUUAGAGCGUCAGACUCUUAAGAAUGCGAUAUCAGCAUUGUUAAGAUAUAUCUGAAGGCUGCGAGUUCGACCCUCGCGGUGGGUU
Non-coding RNA from Collybia nuda, 103 nucleotides. NCBI's taxonomy places the organism in Eukaryota, Fungi, Basidiomycota, Agaricomycetes, Agaricales, Clitocybaceae. The record is from the annotation of a GenBank genome assembly.